Molecule: ribosomal RNA, 355 nt
Filed under: uncultured bacterium
Lineage: Bacteria
Description: partial 16S ribosomal RNA
Rfam family: Bacterial small subunit ribosomal RNA
Source: RNAcentral
CCUACGGGUGGCAGCAGUGAGGAAUAUUGGUCAAUGGGCGCGAGCCUGAACCAGCCAAGUAGCGUGAAGGAUGACUGCCCUACGGGUUGUAAACUUCUUUUAUAAAGGAAUAAAGUGAGGCACGUGUGCCUUUUUGUAUGUACUUUACGAAUAAGGAUCGGCUAACUCGGUGCCAGCAGCCGCGGUAAUACGGAGGAUCCGAGCGUUAUCCGUAUUUAGUGGGGUUAAAGGGAGCAGAGUGGGGUUGUUAAGUCAGUUGUGAAAGUUGGCGGAUCAACCGGAAAAUUGCAAUUGAUACUUGCAGUCUUGAGUACAGUGGAGGUAGGCGGAAUUCGUGGGGUAGCGGUGAAAUGCU